Molecule: transfer RNA, 84 nt
Filed under: uncultured Thermomicrobiales bacterium
Lineage: Bacteria; Pseudomonadati; Thermomicrobiota; Thermomicrobia; Thermomicrobiales
Description: tRNA-Tyr-GTA
Rfam family: tRNA
About the family: Transfer RNA (tRNA) molecules are approximately 80 nucleotides in length. Their secondary structure includes four short double-helical elements and three loops (D, anti-codon, and T loops).
Source: RNAcentral
GGGCAGGUGCCUGAGUGGUUAAAAGGGCCUGGCUGUAAACCAGGUGCGAGAGCUACGGCGGUUCGAAUCCGUCCCUGCCCACCG